UGUGUAUGGUGUGGUAAUGUGUGUGUGUUAGUGUGUAUGGUGUGGUAAUGUGUGUGUGUGUUAGUUACCUUCUGUCUGUGUGUACACAAACAGGGCAUCUUGGGAAAUCUGAUCCUGGGUAAUGACGUGCUUUCUGAUUGGCUGAUUUUCCCUCUGGAUAUUGAUGGUGUCAUUGCAAAUGGCUGGCUGCAGUCAGGAUGGGAGGCAGAUGGGAAUGAAGGAGACGUUGGACCAUGUUUCUAUUCUGGCACUUUAAAACCCAACGGAAUCUCCAGAGACACCUUCAUCAAACUUACUGGCUGGACCAAGGGUCAGGUGUUCAUUAAUGGUGUUAAUGUGGGUCGGUUCUGGCCAGAACGUGGUCCUCAGCACACACUGUAUGUUCCUGCAUCAUUAAUCAGUGCCACAGUAACCAACAACAUCACUGUGCUAGAGCUGGAGAGAGCAGCCAAUCACAGACGAGUGGUGUUUACGGACCGCCCACAACUUGACAAUGUGGCUGUGUAAAGCAACCACACAAACACACAACCACACACACACACACACACACAAAACCACACACAAACACACACACAAAACCACACACAAACACACACACACACACACUUACCUACACGAUAUAUUAAUAUCCUUACACCAUUUUUGAAAGAGCUACAAAAUUAGAAAAGUGACCCUCUGCUCUUUUUGGUGUGUGUGUGUGGGGGGGGGGGGGGGGGAUGACAUAAUUAUAAUGUGUGUGUAUAUGUAUAUUGAACCCAAUUCCCCCCUGGGGUUAAAUAAAGUAUUCUGAUACUGAUA
Long non-coding RNA from Tachysurus fulvidraco (yellow catfish), 798 nucleotides. RefSeq lists it as uncharacterized. The transcript has 2 exons. Lineage: Eukaryota; Metazoa; Chordata; Actinopteri; Siluriformes; Bagridae. The record is from RefSeq and is a predicted model, not a curated record.